GACGAACCGUGCGAACGUUGUUCGGAAUCACUGGGCUUAAAGGGCGCGUAGGCGGCUCCGCAAGUCGGGGGUGAAAUCUUUCGGCUUAACCGGAAAAGUGCCUCUGAUACUGCGGAGCUCGAGGGAGGUAGGGGCGGACGGAACUUCCGGUGGAGCGGUGAAAUGCGUUGAUAUCGGAAGGAACGCCGGUGGCGAAAGCGGUCCGCUGGCCCUCUACUGACGCUGAGGCGCGAAAGCCAGGGGAGCAAACGGGG
RNAcentral lists this ribosomal RNA (254 nucleotides) under uncultured bacterium. RNAcentral's name for it is "partial 16S ribosomal RNA". It matches the Rfam family "Bacterial small subunit ribosomal RNA", at positions 524 to 777 of the family's 1533-position model. The record is from RNAcentral.